Molecule: ribosomal RNA, 269 nt
Filed under: uncultured bacterium
Lineage: Bacteria
Description: partial 16S ribosomal RNA
Rfam family: Bacterial small subunit ribosomal RNA
Source: RNAcentral
GAUGAACGCUAGCGGCAGGCUUAAUACAUGCAAGUCGAACGGUAAGUUUGGUAGCAAUAUCAAACCAAGAGUGACGUACGGGUGCGUAACACGUAUGCAACCUACCUUGUACAGGAGUAUAGCUCGGGGAAACUCGAAUUAACCCUCCAUGAGAUCAUAGAAUGGUAUCAUUUAGUGAUUAAAACUCAGGUGGUACAAGAUGGGCAUGCGUCUGAUUAGUUAGNGGCGGGGUAAUGGCCCACCAAGACGAUGAUCAGUAGGGGACCUGA